GUUGGUGGGGUAACGGCCUACCAAGGCGACGAUCAGUAGCCGGCCUGAGAGGGUGACCGGCCACAUUGGGACUGAGACACGGCCCAAACUCCUACGGGAGGCAGCAGUGGGGAAUAUUGCACAAUGGGGGAAACCCUGAUGCAGCGACGCCGCGUGAGUGAAGAAGUAUUUCGGUAUGUAAAGCUCUAUCAGCAGGGAAGAAGCAAGACGGUACCUGACUAAGAAGCCCCGGCUAACUACGUGCCAGCAGCCGCGGUAAUACGUAGGGGGCAAGCGUUAUCCGGAUUUACUGGGUGUAAAGGGAGCGUAGACGGUAUGGCAAGUCUGAAGUGAAAGCCCAGGGCUUAACCCUGGGACUGCUUUGGAAACUGUUAGACUAGAGUGCUGGAGAGGUAAGUGGAAUUCCUAGUGUAGCGGUGAAAUGCGUAGAUAUUAGGAGGAACACCAGUGGCGAAGGCGGCUUACUGGACAGUAACUGACGUUGAGGCUCGAAAGCGUGGGGAGCAAACAGGAUUAGAUACCCUGGUAGUCCACGCUGUAAACGAUGAAUACUAGGUGUUGGCGGGCAAAGCCCGUCG
RNAcentral lists this ribosomal RNA (578 nucleotides) under uncultured bacterium. Its description in RNAcentral is "bacterial SSU rRNA". It matches the Rfam family "Bacterial small subunit ribosomal RNA", at positions 248 to 842 of the family's 1533-position model. The record is from RNAcentral.